UACAGAGGGUGCGAGCGUUAAUCAGAAUUACUGGGCGUAAAGGGCGCGUAGGCGGUUAUAUAAGUUAGAUGUGAAAUCCCUGGGCUUAACCUAGGAACUGCAUCUAAGACUGUAUAACUAGAGUGCAGUAGAGGGUAGUGGAAUUUCCGGUGUAGCGGUGAAAUGCGUAGAUAUCGGAAGGAACACCAGUGGCGAAGGCGGCUACCUGGACUGACACUGACGCUGAGGCGCGAGAGCGUGGGGAGCAAACAGG
This 253-nucleotide ribosomal RNA is filed under the name uncultured bacterium. RNAcentral's name for it is "partial 16S ribosomal RNA". It matches the Rfam family "Bacterial small subunit ribosomal RNA", at positions 524 to 776 of the family's 1533-position model. The record is from RNAcentral.